RNAcentral lists this ribosomal RNA (253 nucleotides) under uncultured bacterium. Its description in RNAcentral is "partial 16S ribosomal RNA". It matches the Rfam family "Bacterial small subunit ribosomal RNA", at positions 524 to 776 of the family's 1533-position model. The record is from RNAcentral.
AACGUAGGACGCAAGCGUUAUCCGGAGUUACUGGGCGUAAAGCGCGGGCAGGCGGUUGCUCAAGUCUGAUGUGAAAUCUCCUCGCUCAACGGGGAGCAGCCAUUGGAAACUGGGCAACUGGAGUCUGGCAGAGGUAGGCGGAAUUCCGGGUGGAGUGGUGAAAUGCGUAGAGAUCCGGAGGAACACCAGAGGCGAAGGCGGCCUACUGGGCCAGUACUGACGCUGAGGCGCGAAAGCCAGGGGAGCAAACGGG